This 1473-nucleotide long non-coding RNA is filed under the name Malus domestica (apple). RNAcentral's name for it is "long non-coding RNA (MDOM_LNC002203)". The record is from RNAcentral. Lineage: Eukaryota; Viridiplantae; Streptophyta; Magnoliopsida; Rosales; Rosaceae.
AUGAUUCCACAUAAUUUUAUUAUUACUCAAUCACAAAUGAGGUAACAAUUUGUUAUAUACAUCAAUUUACAUGAGAGUAUCACAAGCAGAUAAUAGACCCCUUACUAGCUCCGCUGUCGUACAUUUUGCCGGUUCAUUCUUCCAAUAUUCCGGCAUUCAAAUUUACUGAUGAUCUGGUCACUCAAUACAAUUACUACAUAAAAAACUGGCACCAAUAGGAAUAUGCAGAAUGUGGCAGGACUCAUAUCUCCGGUUUUGUUCAUCUUGUUAUAUACGGAUAGAAAACACCGCAUGUCUAGCAAAACUUUUCCAGGAAGAAGUUCACUUAAAGUGCCGCUUUGCCAGUUUACAUGAACCUCCUAUUGAUUUGGGUUUGUACUGCUAUCUGCAAUAAUAUAUACGAAGACUACCAUGGUUCAGAGUUGUUACCAAGAAAGUUUCUAAUAUAUGACGGCCUGCUCCAACCAUCCUCCAUCAGAAUUAGGUUAAGGCGUAUCAUCAAUUUCUCUGCGGCAUCUUCCUCCAAAACGGUUAACGAAUCAGACGGUCGCCUCCGUAGUGGACAACCCUGAAAAAUCCAAAUGAAGGUACUUAAAAUAGAUUUGCUAUCAAAGUCAUACGUCGAUAUACAUGUAGAAAUGAGAAAACGUACCUUUUUGUCCUGAUACAACUUUAGAUAUUCAAGUGAUUCCUCAUAAAAUCCACAAUGGUAGAGAAGAAUGCUGUAAUCUCUUAAUUCCUUCGAAAAAAAAAAUGAGCUGGCCAAUAAUUCAGUGGAGUACACACGUUAAAGCAUAAAGAGAGAAUUGGUGGUUGAGCUUUGUGUUGUGGGUGGAAAAAGUUUAGGUUAAAAAUUUGUCGGUGUGAUGAGUGAUGGUUGUUUUCUUUCUACUUUCCUAAAGCAACAUCGGUGCAAUGGACUAUUGUCAUGUGUUCAGGGAUGAGUGCUUUCUUUCUACUUUGCUAAAGAAACAUCGGUGCGAUGGACCAUUGUCAUGCGUUCCACUAAUAUUUGUAUGUCCUGUGUCACUGUUUAUAGGUUCCACUAAUAUUUGUCUGUCCUGUCACUCUUUAUAACUUACAAGAGAGUUCCUAUCGUUCUAGAGUGGGCGCAUGAUGCUGCUGAACUAAAAACUGAAAUCGAAAUGGUUACGAAACGAACCCUAAGUUUCUCUCCUUAUUGAGUAAAUUUUAGUUAGGUGAAUCAUGCAUGUAGAUUUACACAUUAUGUAGAUAUAUGAUUCCACAUAAUUUUAUUAUUACUCAAUCACAAAUGAGGUAACAAUUUGUUAUAUACAUCAAUUUACUAGCUCCGCUGUCGUACAUUUUGCCGGUUCAUUCUUCCAAUAUUCCGGCAUUCAAAUUUACUGAUGAUCUGGUCAAUACAAUUACUACAUAAAAAACUGGCACCAAUAGGAAAAUGCAGAAUGUGGCAGGACUCAUAUUUCCGGUUUUGUUCAUCUUGUUAUAUAC